This 468-nucleotide ribosomal RNA is filed under the name uncultured bacterium. RNAcentral describes it as "partial 16S ribosomal RNA". It matches the Rfam family "Bacterial small subunit ribosomal RNA", at positions 28 to 507 of the family's 1533-position model. The record is from RNAcentral.
GACGAACGCUGGCGGCGUGCUUAACACAUGCAAGUCGAACGGAAAGGCCCUGCUUUUGUGGGGUGCUCGAGUGGCGAACGGGUGAGUAACACGUGAGUAACCUGCCCUUGACUUUGGGAUAACUUCAGGAAACUGGGGCUAAUACCGGAUAGGAGCUCCUGCUGCAUGGAGGGGGUUGGAUAGUUUCGGCGGUUGGGGAUGGACUCGCGGCUUAUCAGCUUGUUGGUGGGGUAGUGGCUUACCAAGGCUUUGACGGGUAGCCGGCCUGAGAGGGUGACCGGCCUCAUUGGGACUGCGAUAGGGCCCAGACUCCUACGUGAGGCAGCAGUCGGGAAUAUUGCACAAUGGGCGGGCGCCUGCUGCCGCAACGCCGCGUGCGGGAUGACGGCCUUCGGGUUGAAAACCGCUUUCGCCUGUGACGAAGCGUGAGUGACGGUAAUGGGUAAAGAAGCACCGGCUAACUACGUG